GACGAACGCUGGCGGCGUGCCUAAUACAUGCAAGUAGAACGCACAGUUUAUACCGUAGCUUGCUACACCAUAGACUGUGAGUUGCGAACGGGUGAGUAACGCGUAGGUAACCUGCCUGGUAGCGGGGGAUAACUAUUGGAAACGAUAGCUAAUACCGCAUAAUAUUGAUUAUUGCAUGAUAAUUGAUUGAAAGAUGCUAUUGCAUCACUACCAGAUGGACCUGCGUUGUAUUAGCUAGUAGGUGAGGUAACGGCUCACCUAGGCGACGAUACAUAGCCGACCUGAGAGGGUGAUCGGCCACACUGGGACUGAGACACGGCCCAGACUCCUACGGGAGGCAGCAGUAGGGAAUCUUCGGCAAUGGACGAAAGUCUGACCGAGCAACGCCGCGGGAGUGAAGAAGGGUUUCGGAUCGUAAAGCUCUGUUGUAAGAGAAGAACGGGUGUGAGAGUGGAAAGUUCACACUGUGACGGUAGCUUACCAGAAAGGGACGGCUAACUACGUG
Molecule: ribosomal RNA, 505 nt
Filed under: uncultured bacterium
Lineage: Bacteria
Description: partial 16S ribosomal RNA
Rfam family: Bacterial small subunit ribosomal RNA
Source: RNAcentral